This 786-nucleotide ribosomal RNA is filed under the name Bacillus subtilis. RNAcentral's name for it is "bacterial SSU rRNA". It matches the Rfam family "Bacterial small subunit ribosomal RNA", at positions 57 to 825 of the family's 1533-position model. RNAcentral also lists the same sequence under 1 other name. The record is from RNAcentral. Lineage: Bacteria; Bacillati; Bacillota; Bacilli; Caryophanales; Bacillaceae.
GCAAGUCGAGCGGACAGAUGGGAGCUUGCUCCCUGAUGUUAGCGGCGGACGGGUGAGUAACACGUGGGUAACCUGCCUGUAAGACUGGGAUAACUCCGGGAAACCGGGGCUAAUACCGGAUGGUUGUUUGAACCGCAUGGUUCAAACAUAAAAGGUGGCUUCGGCUACCACUUACAGAUGGACCCGCGGCGCAUUAGCUAGUUGGUGAGGUAACGGCUCACCAAGGCAACGAUGCGUAGCCGACCUGAGAGGGUGAUCGGCCACACUGGGACUGAGACACGGCCCAGACUCCUACGGGAGGCAGCAGUAGGGAAUCUUCCGCAAUGGACGAAAGUCUGACGGAGCAACGCCGCGUGAGUGAUGAAGGUUUUCGGAUCGUAAAGCUCUGUUGUUAGGGAAGAACAAGUACCGUUCGAAUAGGGCGGUACCUUGACGGUACCUAACCAGAAAGCCACGGCUAACUACGUGCCAGCAGCCGCGGUAAUACGUAGGUGGCAAGCGUUGUCCGGAAUUAUUGGGCGUAAAGGGCUCGCAGGCGGUUUCUUAAGUCUGAUGUGAAAGCCCCCGGCUCAACCGGGGAGGGUCAUUGGAAACUGGGGAACUUGAGUGCAGAAGAGGAGAGUGGAAUUCCACGUGUAGCGGUGAAAUGCGUAGAGAUGUGGAGGAACACCAGUGGCGAAGGCGACUCUCUGGUCUGUAACUGACGCUGAGGAGCGAAAGCGUGGGGAGCGAACAGGAUUAGAUACCCUGGUAGUCCACGCCGUAAACGAUGAGUGCUAAGUGUUA